UCCACUCUUUCAGCAGUCAAAAGAGAGUCUCUUGUGUAAAAUAAUCGAAAAAUCAACCAUAGAACUAUCCAGAAAAACAAACAAACAAACACGUAGCUUGAUUUGCUUUCUGCUGGGUUCAUAAGAAAAUUACAGCAGAAUACAACGAAAAAAAAAGAUGGAAAAAGUAUCGCAACUAGGCAAUCUAGUUGUAUCAGGUACAGAUGAAGAAGAAUCUAAAGAUCAAAAUUCGUAACUUAAACUCUGUAUCCACAUUUUCUCGCCAAACAAACAGAGGUGAAGAGAGUGAGGAAAAGUUUCCGCACUGGUAGUAGCUAGGCGUAGGACUAAUACACAAAUAAAUAAGGAUCCAAACCUCUAAAGUUACAAAUUCAAGUCUGUUCCACCAUUUUCCCAGCAAACAAACAGAGUUAUUCCAACAAGAUGCGGUAUUCCUCACCCUACUAAUUAGUUUACUAAAAUCUUCCUUUUCUCUCCCUCCACUCUUUCAGCAGUCAAAAGAGAGUCUCUUGUGUAAAAUAAUCGAAAAAUCAACCAUAGAACUAUCCAGAAAAACAAACAAACAAACACGUAGCUUGAUUUGCUUUCUGCUGGGUUCAUAAGAAAAUUACAGCAGAAUACAACGAAAAAAAAAGAUGGAAAAAGUAUCGCAACUAGGCAAUCUAGUUGUAUCAGGUACAGAUGAAGAAGAAUCUAAAGAUCAAAAUUCGUAACUUAAAGUCUGUAUCCACGUUUUCUCGCCAAACAAACAGAGGUGAAGAGAGUGAGGAAAAGAUUCCGCACUGGUAGUAGCUAGGCGUAGGACUAAUACACAAAUAAAUAAGGAUCUAAACCUCUAAAGUUACAAAUUCAAGUCUGUUCCACCAUUUUCCCAGCAAACAAACAGAGUUAUUCCAACAAGAUGCGGUAUUCCUCGCCCUAGUAAUUAGUUUACUAAAAUCUUCCUUUUCUCUCCCUCCACUCUUUCAGCAGUCAAUAGAGAGUCUCUGUGUAAAAUAAUCGAAAAAUCAACCAUAG
Molecule: long non-coding RNA, 1017 nt
Filed under: Vitis vinifera (wine grape)
Lineage: Eukaryota; Viridiplantae; Streptophyta; Magnoliopsida; Vitales; Vitaceae
Description: long non-coding RNA (VVIN_LNC001608)
Source: RNAcentral